Lineus longissimus is the source of this 3347-nucleotide RNA transcript. RefSeq lists it as uncharacterized. The record is from RefSeq and is a predicted model, not a curated record. NCBI's taxonomy places the organism in Eukaryota, Metazoa, Nemertea, Pilidiophora, Heteronemertea, Lineidae. The transcript has 5 exons.
GCACAAACCCCAUUGCUACACGCUGUACAUGUAUUAUCAAUGCUACCAGCAUUUUAGCUAAGGGAACUAAUUUUUACGAAUUCUGAACAAUUCUGCUGUUAGGGAUACGGACAGUCCAAUUUUUUUUGGCUUUACUUUCGUUUUUUAGCUACGACCAGGAGGAUAUUAAAGGUACAAGUAUAUAAAGCCGGCUUCGAAAAGGAAAGUGGAACUUUAAUCAAGAACAACACGAUGAGUGACAUCCCAAGCCCUAACGUACUGUAUAUUGAACUCAGGGACCAACUCGUUCAAGAUGAGGUAGAUACGAUAGUGGGGUAUUUACGUAAUAACCCGCUUACGCCGAGAGAUCUUGAGGACUGCAAGGGGAAUUUUACAAAUAUUUGUCAAAAGCUUGAAGUCCAUAAGAAGAUUAAGCCAGAUGAAGACGAUUAUGCGUUUCUCGAAAAAAUGUUCGAGAUUCUAGCAUUGCGGACACUUAAAGACAGGGUGCGAAAAUUUGCAGACCUCUGCAGACAUAGCAGAACACCUCAAGCCUAUGAGCAUACGAUCACCGAUGGGGCCUCCGCCGUCAAAGACAAAGCUGACUACGCCGAUCCAGACGAGUAUCGAAAUGAUGGUCGUAGCCAUUACAGGAGUUCUGGGCGUCCAGAACAAGUUGAGGCCACUCAUGGACAAGGUGGCAGUGACAGCACACUUCAGUCGACAGGGGGCGCUCAACCCCAAGGGCGAGGCAAAAUAGGGAAUGUCGGUGGACACGGUAACGUCGGAAUCAUGAGCGCCAAUGCAAUAACCAUUAACCAGACCAUCAGGGCUUAUCUUCCAGGUCAGGCAGUUGAUACGCAGCAGGAAGUGCAAUAUACUAAUGCUGCUGACAAUAACCCACAGGAGUAGGCACUCGCGAGCAACUGUGACAAUAGUACGAAAACAAGCUGGUCCGAGAGUACUGUGUCUUUUAAUACGAAAAUGCGAAUAUGCGAGACUUUCGACUUGGCCCUGGCAUCCCGGUGUAAAAGAAGUGCAAGUCCCCAUGGAAUCUAAGUCCGGUCCUUUUGUUAAAGUGAAUAGAGUCGUUGAGUUCCUUUGUUGAAGAUUAUGUAGCUAACCCUAACCAGAGUCUUUCUAUACAAUAUAUAGAAAGACUCUGCCCUAACCAAACAAUUAACCACAUUCGUUGACAAUACACAGCUAUUGUUUGGGGUCUUGCAUUCCUAGGACGUCCAUUCCUUUUACACCUGUCGAUAUUUCCAUGUUGAGGACAUUCACAUGUAUAUACAGUGGCCUAUUUUCUAACUCCUUGAUCGUGCGACUACCUAUAGUUUGUUCUGUUUCACCAGUACAAAAUCAUCCAGUAUGUACAGUCCUACCAGAAAGUAAAUGUCCACAGGUUUUUUUAAUUGAAUGCGGUUUUCAGCAGACAAUGGUAUAUCUAGUUGGUCUGAUUGACAGUUUCUCUUCCCCACGUCAUGGCUUCGCUGACGACACUCAAGUCUAUGUUGCAUUGCCAAUAGGGCAAGCACAGCAGAAAAUUGUUCAGUAAGAGGACUGCCUGCUCAAGAUUCAGGACUGAUUAGCCAAGAACAUGCUCAAGGGGAACCCAACGAAAACUGAAAUCAAGUUGUUUGGUUCUCAACAAGCUUUGAACCGUCUCAAUAUAGAGUUCCUCUCAGUAGCGGGGAUUGACGUCCAAGUGACAUCAGGACCAGUGAGAAACCUGGGAGUUCUUUUCGAUCAUACAAUGUCAAUGGAAAAUCAAGUGAAUAGUGUUGUAAGAUCUGCAACGUACCAUCUUCGGAACAUUGGCCGGAUACGUAAUUGUCUUACCGAAAGUGCAGCUAAACUCCUGAUCCAAUCCCUUGUGUUAACAAGACUGGAUUAUUGCAACAGCCUCCUUGCCGGCAUUACCAAGAACCUAAUGCACAAACUCCAACUUACACAAAAUCAUGCAGCCAGGAUAAUAACUCGAACUCGUCGUGACCAGCACAUUACACCCGUGCUCAGGAGGCUACAUUGGCUUCCUCUUCCUCAAAGAAUUGACUUCAAGGUGUCACUCCUUUUGUUUAAGUGCAAAGCUGACCUUGCCCCAUGCUAUCUAUCAGAUAUUGUGCCACUGUAUGAACCCAGCCGAUCCGAGGUCCCAGAACCUAGGUUUGCUCCAAGUACCCAGGUACCGCCUGGCAUCAUUUGGUGGCAGAAGUUUUGUGGUGUAUGCUACACAACUCUGGAACAGACUAGACAUGAAUGUGCGAAAUGCUCCAACUGUGAGCACAUUCAAAAAGGUGCUGAAGUCGAGAUUAUGGUGACUUUGUUUUCAAAGCGCAGCCGAGCAAUCAUACGUUAUUGGAUAAUUGCGCUAUAUAAGUCUUAUUUGAAUUGAAUUGAAUCAUGUAUCUGUUGUAUUUGGACCCAGCUAAUCCUGUCUCUUCAUUAUGUAACAGACAGCUGGACAUUGCAAGGCCAAAUGGGAUUACUCCUUCAGAAUAUGGACAGCUACGUGGCAUUCCCCCGAAGGACCAUUGCGCGAUGGAUACAGGAGGAGGAUGAAUUGCGCGAGAGACACCGAGAAUCCACAUUAUUAUUAUUAUUAUUAAAAACAUUUUUAUAGCGCUUAACGUUGUUAAAACUUCUAAGCGCUUUACAAUUUAUAAUAAAACAUAACAUGAUAGAAUAAAAGUCAUUACUAAAGAAAACGUGCAAAGGAUUCAAAAGAAUUUCUUAAAAAUAUGAGUUUUUAGUGCAGUUUUAAAACGACCCAGGGUACUCUGGCCACGAACACUAUUUGGAAGCUCAUUCCAUAGCUUUGGUCCCGCCACUGCGAAUGCAGAGGAGCCUAUCACCCGGUUUGUGCGGACUUCCUUACACAGACCCAUUGUACUUGACCGCAGGGAGCGUCAGGGUUUGUAAACUUCUAAGCAGUCUGCGAGAUAUUUUGGUGCGUAAUCAUGUAGACAUUUGUAGACCAUUAGAUUAACCUUGUACUCGAGCCUUGCUUUCAAAGGAAGCCAGUGGAGUGCGCACAGAACCGGAGUGAUAUGAUCCCCUCUGGACACCCUAGUGACGAGACGAGCUGCCGAGUUUUGAACCAGUUGAAGCUUACGCACAUUGGCCUCCGAGAUGUUAUAUAGCAGACUAUUUGCGUAGUCCAACCGCGAGACAACUAAGGUCCGCACUGCACUUGUUGCUGCUGAUUUACUGAGCAAAGAUCUUAUCUUGCUUAUACGAUAGAGAUGGAAAUUUGCCGCACGGCAUACAUUGUUAACAUGCGUUUUCAUGGACAUUUCUCUGUCAAAUGUUACACCAAGAAUCUUGAUGGUAUCACUCAGCUCAAUUUCAGUAUCGCCAAUUUUCAA